GAUGAACGCUAGCGGCAGGCUUAACACAUGCAAGUCGAGGGGUAUGCUUCUUCGGAAGCAGAGACCGGCGCACGGGUGCGUAACGCGUAUGCAAUCUACCUUUUACAGAGGGAUAGCCCAGAGAAAUUUGGAUUAAUACCUCAUAGUAUUAUAGAAUGGCAUCAUUUUAUAAUUAAAGUCACAACGGUAAAAGAUGAGCAUGCGUCCCAUUAGCUAGNGGUAAGGUAACGGCUUACCAAGGCUACGAUGGGUAGGGGUCCUGAGAGGGAGAUCCCCCACACUGGUACUGAGACACGGACCAGACUCCUACGGGAGGGCAGCAGUGAGGAAUAUUGGACAAUGGGCGCAAGCCUGAUCCAGCCAUGCCGCGUGCAGGAUGACGGUCCUAUGGAUUUGUAAACUGUCUUUUUAUACGAGAAGAAACNCUCCUUCGUGAAGGNGCUUGACGGUAUCGUAAGAAUAAGGAUCGGCUAACU
RNAcentral lists this ribosomal RNA (476 nucleotides) under uncultured bacterium. Its description in RNAcentral is "bacterial SSU rRNA". It matches the Rfam family "Bacterial small subunit ribosomal RNA", at positions 28 to 502 of the family's 1533-position model. The record is from RNAcentral.